RNAcentral lists this transfer RNA (67 nucleotides) under Stegodyphus mimosarum. It matches the Rfam family "tRNA". From Rfam's summary of the family: Transfer RNA (tRNA) molecules are approximately 80 nucleotides in length. Their secondary structure includes four short double-helical elements and three loops (D, anti-codon, and T loops). Lineage: Eukaryota; Metazoa; Arthropoda; Arachnida; Araneae; Eresidae. The record is from Rfam by way of RNAcentral.
ACCUUCGUGGUGUAGUGGUCAGCGCGCUGUAUUCCAGAGGUCCGUGGUUCGAGUCCCGGCAAAGGCG